Molecule: ribosomal RNA, 250 nt
Filed under: uncultured bacterium
Lineage: Bacteria
Description: partial 16S ribosomal RNA
Rfam family: Bacterial small subunit ribosomal RNA
Source: RNAcentral
UACAGAGGUCCCAAGCGUUGUUCGGAUUCACUGGGCGUAAAGGGUGCGUAGGUGGUUGGGUAAGUCUGAUGUGAAAUCUCUGAGCUCAACUCAGAAACUGCAUUGGAUACUAUCCGGCUAGAGAAUCGGAGGGGGGACUGGAAUACUUGGUGUAGCAGUGAAAUGCGUAGAUAUCAAGUGGAACACCAGUGGCGAAGGCGAGUCCCUGGGCGAUUUCUGACACUGAGGCACGAAAGCUAGGGGAGCAAAC